UGUGUGUGAGGUCACACUUGUGAGGGUAGGAUUACGUCAGAUAAAGAAGGAGCUCCUCUCUUCGUCAAAUAUGGAAAGCGGAAUCGACAGAACAGAAAUGGAAGCAAGUAUCUGCUAUUUUUAAAACGCUACAGCCGAUCAGCCAAUUUUUUUUUAAAGAUUAAAUUUAUUGCCUGUUUUUUUCAUGUUCAUUGUCAACUCUGGAACAACUACUUACAGGCAAAAAAGUAUACAGCAUAGAGUCAGUGACUGACUAUGUUCAGUAAAUCUUGUGAUCGUUGGGAGGUGAGUAAUUCCUGGAUGAAUGGCUUGACUUCCUUAUUCAGCUUUUUCUCUCAGGUAAAACCAAGCAAACGCAGGUGGCUGAAGGAAAACUAUGCACAGACUGAGCUGAUAGAGUCACUGUUUUGUCUUCACUGGUUUUUCUAACAUGCCCUUAUGUACUGAUAAGGUCAGCAGUUUUGUUAAAGGUGGAGAUCAUCACUAAGGAGGCCAAGCUUUUUCUUUUUAAAUUACUUUCCGCGGUCAGUUUUAGGCCAGACUGUUUUUUUUUUUGUUUUUUUCAUAGAAACUGUGGUUCAGAGGUCCCUGAGGAAUAAAGGAAGCCAUAAAGAUUGAGUCACAUUACUUGAGAUAGUGAGUUGCCUGCCUGUGCACAUUCCCCUUUCUUUCCCUCCUACAUGUUUGAUCACGUUGCUGUAUGUGACACACAGCCAUGACCACAUAGACAACUCCAUGGUUUAAACUUGUGGUGUAGUAGUGGUUAAAAAAAAUCCCUACUGAUAUGGAAUUAUUUUAUUUAUUAUUUUCCUGAGUAAAACAACAAUUAUUCAUUAAAUAGGGAAUCUCCUCUAACAUAUGUUUAUUGAAUCAAAAUAACAUCCCUUUAGUUUCCCAUUCACGUAUUCAGUUUCUGAUUGAUUUGGCGCAACUUAAUCAAACUCAUUCUCCAGUCCCUCUCAUAGUCCAUACGUCUCUGAGGAUUUAAGCUAUUUCUGUUUAAACAGGAAGCACUGCUAUUGGCUAAAUCCCAAUCACCUUUGACCUCCCACUUCACUCAAAAGGAAUCUCGUGGUAGGGUUAUUACCAGACUCUGUGAUGUUGUGUGAACCGCUACUUUCAGCUUAAAAUAGCCGUGGAACUAGAAUGCAGUCCCAGUCAGCGUGAAGUCCCAGUGAUCCUCCAGAGGAUAAUUGGAAACAGAAGUGUAAUGUAGCAGUACUAUGUGAUGAUGAGGUCCCACAUUCCUAAAUCUGGCCACAAUAGAGUGAAUUAUAAAUUUGAAUUGGAUUUGUUUUGUUUUAUUGGCCUUUUAAAUCAAACAGGGGGCUUUAUUUCUAUUUUCUUUUUCCCUUUCCCUUUUUUUCCCUCUCUCUUAAAAAACUUGAAUGUGUGUAAAAUUUUACGCUCUAUUUUUUAUUUUUUUUACUUUCAUGUAGGCUUAUAUGAACCUUUUAAUUUUUUUCCCUCUGUAAAUAACUUUUUUCAAUUUUGAAUGGUGCUAUACAAAUAAAAAAAUUAGUAUUGUUAUUAAUUUGAUUCCCCAAUGAACUUACAAUACCUAUGCGUAUUUUAUUAAUUAUUUAUGUUUCAUGAAUCGGAUCAAAUCUCAGACAAAAUACAGACACCAGACAGACAGGGGGCUUAAAUAAACAAGCAUGUAUUUUAUUAAAUUAAGCUCGUAGACAUGUGGAAUUGCUGUCAGUAGAAAGCAGGUAUAUGAUGAAUGUAUCUGAAGGAAA
Long non-coding RNA from Astatotilapia calliptera (eastern happy), 1742 nucleotides. The record is from Ensembl. NCBI's taxonomy places the organism in Eukaryota, Metazoa, Chordata, Actinopteri, Cichliformes, Cichlidae.